UCAUCCCCGGAGCGACUGCGCAAGCGCACGACGAUCCCAUUCUUGUCCUGCAGGCAGCAUUCCGGGUGGAGAGUGUGAGAGAAAGAGAGAAAGACAGGAGAGAUUUGAGGCCGCACACUGUGUAUUUACAAUAAGGAAUACGAGCUGUAUGUUCCACCCAGCUGCGGCGUUCAAGCGGGAUAUGGGCUCUCCAGGUCAGAUCCCGGGACAAGACAUGGAGCUCUAAGCUAGCCCUCUCCAUCUAUCUCCAUUUGCUGCCUUGCACACUGCUCGCCAAAACCACCUCUUCUACCCCUGCUAUAGUGGUUUGGCUCAGACUCCUGUAAGAGAAGAAGAGGGGAAAAAACCCAAGUGGGAGGGAGUAGUAAACUUCCCCCAGCUGCUGACCAGACACACACAUGCUGCAUUGCUGCCAUUCCCCAAGCCCUGCUCCAUCCAUCCCUAGGGCACGGCCACUAGCUUGCUAGCGAGCACUUCACACAAAGACAAGGCCUGCCCUCGGGGAUAAAA
Long non-coding RNA from Micropterus salmoides (largemouth bass), 510 nucleotides. RefSeq lists it as uncharacterized. The record is from RefSeq and is a predicted model, not a curated record. The transcript has 2 exons. NCBI's taxonomy places the organism in Eukaryota, Metazoa, Chordata, Actinopteri, Centrarchiformes, Centrarchidae.